RNAcentral lists this ribosomal RNA (497 nucleotides) under uncultured bacterium. Its description in RNAcentral is "partial 16S ribosomal RNA". It matches the Rfam family "Bacterial small subunit ribosomal RNA", at positions 28 to 507 of the family's 1533-position model. The record is from RNAcentral.
GAUGAACGCUGGCGGCGUGCCUAAUACAUGCGAGUCGAGCGAACAGACGAGGAGCUUGCUCCUCUGACGUUAGCGGCGGACGGGUGAGUAACACGUGGAUAACCUACCUAUAAGACUGGGAUAACUUCGGGAAACCGGAGCUAAUACCGGAUAAUAUAUUGAACCGCAUGGUUCAAUAGUGAAAGACGGUUUUGCUGUCACUUAUAGAUGGAUCCGCGCCGCAUUAGCUAGUUGGUAAGGUAACGGCUUACCAAGGCAACGAUGCGUAGCCGACCUGAGAGGGUGAUCGGCCACACUGGAACUGAGACACGGUCCAGACUCCUACGGGAGGCAGCAGUAGGGAAUCUUCCGCAAUGGGCGAAAGCCUGACGGAGCAACGCCGCGUGAAUGAUGAAGGUCUUCGGAUCGUAAAACUCUGUUAUUAGGGAAGAACAAAUGUGUAAGUAACUAUGCACGUCUUGACGGUACCUAAUCAGAAAGCCACGGCUAACUACGUG